RNAcentral lists this ribosomal RNA (474 nucleotides) under uncultured bacterium. RNAcentral describes it as "partial 16S ribosomal RNA". It matches the Rfam family "Bacterial small subunit ribosomal RNA", at positions 28 to 507 of the family's 1533-position model. The record is from RNAcentral.
GACGAACGCUGGCGGCGUGCCUAAUACAUGCAAGUAGAACGCUGAAGGCGGAGCUUGCUCUUCUGGAUGAGUUGCGAACGGGUGAGUAACGCGUAGGUAACCUGCCUGGGAGCGGGGGAUAACUAUUGGAAACGAUAGCUAAUACCGCAUACGAGUAGCUGAUGCAUGACAUUUACUUAAAAGGUGCAAUUGCAUCACUACGAGCUGGACCUGCGUGCUAUUAGCUAGUUGGAGGGGUAACGGCUCACCAAGGCGUCGAUACAUAGCCGGCCUGCGAGGGGGACCGGCAACACUGGGACUGAGACACGGCACAGACUCCUACGGGAGGCAGCAGUGGGGAAUGUUGCCCACUGGGCGAACGCAUGAUGCAGCAACGCCGCGUGAGGGACGACGGCCUUCGGGUUGUAACCCGCUUUUAGCAGGGAAGAAGCGAAAGUGACGGUACCUGCAGAAAAAGCGCCGGCUAACUACGUG